This is a long non-coding RNA of Protopterus annectens (West African lungfish), 374 nucleotides long. RefSeq lists it as uncharacterized. The transcript is spliced from 3 exons. NCBI's taxonomy places the organism in Eukaryota, Metazoa, Chordata, Ceratodontiformes, Protopteridae. The record is from RefSeq and is a predicted model, not a curated record.
UGCUGUUUACUCGGCUUUCACCUGAAGAAUGUAAAAAAGUAAAAGCGGAGCGAGAGGCUGAUGCAUUUACACCAAAAAGCUUGAAGAAAUCCAGAUUGUUGAAUCGAUCAAAAGCAAAGCAGUUAAUUGAGAAAGCAAAAGACCUGCAGAAGAACAAAUCAAAAUCACCUGGGAAGACAUUGGUGCCAUUGAGACGUUCAUCACGACAACAGGCUCUUGCUGACAGAAAAUCUUCUGAAGAGGUGCAUAUAGUAGAUGAAGAUUCUGGCUCAGACUGCAAGAUUGUCUCUGUCCAGCAGCAGAAGAAAAAAAAGAAGCUUCGAUCCAUAAAUGAUGUGUUGGGGAAGAGCAUCGACAAUGCAAAGAACUCUGCA